Molecule: long non-coding RNA, 228 nt
Filed under: Hordeum vulgare
Lineage: Eukaryota; Viridiplantae; Streptophyta; Magnoliopsida; Poales; Poaceae
Description: long non-coding RNA (HVUL_LNC010513)
Source: RNAcentral
CACAAAACGUAUAGGGCGCCGAAUUUGGUAAUUAUGGUCAUAGAUGCAUCAUCACCCCGAUGAUGUACAAUGGCACAAUGCAACACCACCAGCCAGAUGUAGUUCUAUCUACUACUCCCUCUGUUCCUAAAUAUAAGUCUUUAUAGAGAUUCCACUAAUAACUACUCCCUCCGUUCUUAAAUAUAAGUCUUUUUAAAGGUUCCGCUAAAAAACUAUAUGGAUGUAUAU